RNAcentral lists this ribosomal RNA (529 nucleotides) under uncultured bacterium. RNAcentral describes it as "bacterial SSU rRNA". It matches the Rfam family "Bacterial small subunit ribosomal RNA", at positions 524 to 1050 of the family's 1533-position model. The record is from RNAcentral.
UACGUAGGGAGCGAGCGUUGUCCGGAUUUACUGGGUGUAAAGGGUGCGUAGGCGGCUGAGCAAGUCAGGUGUGAAAACCAUCGGCUUAACUGAUGGACUGCAUUUGAAACUGCUUGGCUUGAGUGGAGCAGAGGCAGGCGGAAUUCCCGGUGUAGCGGUGAAAUGCGUAGAGAUCGGGAGGAACACCAGUGGCGAAGGCGGCCUGCUGGGCUUUAACUGACGCUGAGGCACGAAAGCAUGGGUAGCAAACAGGAUUAGAUACCCUGGUAGUCCAUGCCGUAAACGAUGAUUACUAGGUGUGGGUGGUCUGACCCCAUCCGUGCCGGAGUUAACACAAUAAGUAAUCCACCUGGGAAGUACGACCGCAAGGUUGAAACUCAAAGGAAUUGACGGGGGCCCGCACAAGCAGUGGAGUAUGUGGUUUAAUUCGAAGCAACGCGAAGAACCUUACCAGGUCUUGACAUCUGCCGGAUUCUUCAGAGAUGAGGGAGUGCCCUUCGGGGAACGGCAAGACAGGUGGUGCAUGGUU